RNAcentral lists this ribosomal RNA (460 nucleotides) under uncultured bacterium. RNAcentral's name for it is "partial 16S ribosomal RNA". It matches the Rfam family "Bacterial small subunit ribosomal RNA", at positions 338 to 795 of the family's 1533-position model. The record is from RNAcentral.
CCUACGGGUGGCUGCAGUGAGGAAUAUUGGUCAAUGGACGAGAGUCUGAACCAGCCAAGUAGCGUGAAGGAUGACUGCCCUAUGGGUUGUAAACUUCUUUUAUAUGGGAAUAAAAUGUUCCACGUGUGGGAUUUUGUAUGUACCAUAUGAAUAAGGAUCGGCUAACUCCGUGCCAGCAGCCGCGGUAAUACGGAGGAUCCGAGCGUUAUCCGGAUUUAUUGGGUUUAAAGGGAGCGUAGGUGGAUUGUUAAGUCAGUUGUGAAAGUUUUCGGCUCAACCGGAAAAUUGCAGUUGAAACUGGCAGUCUUGAGUACAGUAGAGGUGGGCGGAAUUCGUGGUGUAGCGGUGAAAUGCUUAGAUAUCACGAAGAACUCCGAUUGCGAAGGCAGUUCACUGGACUGCAACUGACACUGAGGCUCGAAAGUGUGGGUAUCAAACAGGAUUAGAUACCCUAGUAGUC